AUUCCAGCUCCAAUAGCGUAUAUUAAUGUUGUUGCAGUUAAAAAGCUCGUAGUUGGAUUUCUAGCGGACGCGACUGGUCUGCCCCGCAAGGGGUUUGUACUGAGUUGUCGUCUGUUAUCCUUGAGAAGAGCGGCCCUGGCAUUCAUUUGUCGGGGUCGGGAUUCUCAUCGUUUACUGUGAAAAAAUUAGAGUGUUCAAAGCAAGCUUAGGCUCUGAAUAUAUUAGCAUGGAAUAAUAAGAUAGGACCUUGGUGGUUUAUUUUGUUGGUUUGCACGCCGAGGUAAUGAUUAAUAGGGAUAGUUAGGGGUAUUCGUAUUCAAUUGUCAGAGGUGAAAUUCUUGGAUUUAUGGAAGACGAACUACUGCGAAAGCAUUUACCAAGGAUGUUUUCAUCA
RNAcentral lists this ribosomal RNA (394 nucleotides) under Stramenopiles sp. MOCH-2. RNAcentral describes it as "partial small subunit ribosomal RNA". It matches the Rfam family "Eukaryotic small subunit ribosomal RNA", at positions 582 to 975 of the family's 1831-position model. The record is from RNAcentral.